GAUGAACGCUGGCGGCGUGCCUAAUACAUGCAAGUCGAGCGAACGGACGAGAAGCUUGCUUCUCUGAUGUUAGCGGCGGACGGGUGAGUAACACGUGGAUAACCUACCUAUAAGACUGGGAUAACUUCGGGAAACCGGAGCUAAUACCGGAUAAUAUUUUGAACCGCAUGGUUCAAAAGUGAAAGACGGUCUUGCUGUCACUUAUAGAUGGAUCCGCGCUGCAUUAGCUAGUUGGUAAGGUAACGGCUUACCAAGGCAACGAUGCAUAGCCGACCUGAGAGGGUGAUCGGCCACACUGGAACUGAGACACGGUCCAGACUCCUACGGGAGGCAGCAGUAGGGAAUCUUCCGCAAUGGGCGAAAGCCUGACGGAGCAACGCCGCGUGAGUGAUGAAGGUCUUCGGAUCGUAAAACUCUGUUAUUAGGGAAGAACAUAUGUGUAAGUAACUGUGCACAUCUUGACGGUACCUAAUCAGAAAGCCACGGCUAACUACGUGCCAGCAGCCGCGGUAAUACGUAGGUGGCAAGCGUUAUCCGGAAUUAUUGGGCGUAAAGCGCGCGUAGGCGGUUUUUUAAGUCUGAUGUGAAAGCCCACGGCUCAACCGUGGAGGGUCAUUGGAAACUGGAAAACUUGAGUGCAGAAGAGGAAAGUGGAAUUCCAUGUGUAGCGGUGAAAUGCGCAGAGAUAUGGAGGAACACCAGUGGCGGAGGCGACUUUCUGGUCUGUAACUGACGCUGAUGUGCGAAAGCGUGGGGAUCAAACAGGAUUAGAUACCCUGGUAGUCCACGCCGUAAACGAUGAGUGCUAAGUGUUAGGGGGUUUCCGCCCCUUAGUGCUGCAGCUAACGCAUUAAGCACUCCGCCUGGGGAGUACGACCGCAAGGUUGAAACUCAAAGGAAUUGACGGGGACCCGCACAAGCGGUGGAGCAUGUGGUUUAAUUCGAAGCAACGCGAAGAACCUUACCAAAUCUUGACAUCCUUUGACAACUCUAGAGAUAGAGCUUUCCCCUUCGGGGGACAAAGUGACAGGUGGUGCAUGGUUGUCGUCAGCUCGUGUCGUGAGAUGUUGGGUUAAGUCCCGCAACGAGCGCAACCCUUAAGCUUAGUUGCCAUCAUUAAGUUGGGCACUCUAAGUUGACUGCCGGUGACAAACCGGAGGAAGGUGGGGAUGACGUCAAAUCAUCAUGCCCCUUAUGAUUUGGGCUACACACGUGCUACAAUGGACAAUACAAAGGGCAGCGAAACCGCGAGGUCAAGCAAAUCCCAUAAAGUUGUUCUCAGUUCGGAUUGUAGUCUGCAACUCGACUACAUGAAGCUGGAAUCGCUAGUAAUCGUAGAUCAGCAUGCUACGGUGAAUACGUUCCCGGGUCU
This 1372-nucleotide ribosomal RNA is filed under the name uncultured bacterium. RNAcentral describes it as "bacterial SSU rRNA". It matches the Rfam family "Bacterial small subunit ribosomal RNA", at positions 28 to 1381 of the family's 1533-position model. The record is from RNAcentral.